GGCUAAAACCGCCGCGGCGCACCCCGACGGUAGGGGAGGGGGACGGACGGAGAAGAAGAGAUAUUUCUUUGCACUUCGGCAUCGGAGGAGGCGCACUCAGAAAGGAAGAGUCGUGGUGUCGGAGAAGGCAAAGAGAGGAGAGCAGCAUAAGAAGAUUGUGCGGGUGCUACCGUCGGCGAGCGGCCCUGGAGGCAGCGGCCAGACCGGAGCACGAGCGGCCUCAGGACGUGAAGUCUGCAGUUCUAAGGUGCCGGUCAGGACGGCAAAGAACCGGCCUAGAGUGGACAAUCCGUAGUAGGGCUACGUACCACGACAGAGAAGCGGCCUGCCCCGUGCGGCCGCCCAGAACGCCGUCACCGACCGCGGAGGGUCGCCGCCGGUCGGCAAGGACGCCGUUCUGUUCUACUCCGACUGGUCUGCCCCGCCGCACGUGGGUCGUCCUUGUCUCGGCACGUCGAGCGCCGCAGCCGCCACGGCUAGGCUCCACAGGACGGCCGCACGCGGGUCGCCCUUGACUGCCUAGACCAACGUCGAGCGCCGCAGCCGCCACGUCUAGGCCGCACGUUGUCCGCCUCGAGCGCCUCAGCCGCCACGUCUAGGCUGCACCGGCCGCCCUCCGCGACGGCCGGCCCAGCCAGGCCCCAGGCUCUAGAGCCGAACCGCUCGGCAAAGAGAGCCGGGCGCGGUCUGAUCCGCGCUGCGCUCUAGGUAGGGCCCAAGCUGGCCUGCCGCUAAGCCCAAGCCGCGGAUAGCUCUGCGUCGUCGGGCCUUGAGCCCAGGCUGGCUAGGCCAGCCAGCCGACGUGGCCGGCCGCUAAGCCCAAGCCGCGGAUAGCUCUGCGUCGUCGGGCCCUGAGCCCAGGCUGGCUAGGCCAGCCAGCCGACGUGGCCGGCCGGCCCAGCCCAGAAACGGGCCUCCGGCGCCCUACCCGACCUAGUCGCGGCAGGCGAGCGGUCUAGGCUGCCGCGCAUACGCAGGGGACGAUCCAAAGGUCGGGCGCCCCACCUGGGGCAGCUCAGGAAGGGGCCUCCGGCGCCCUAGCCGACCUAGUCGCGGCAGGCGAGGGUCUAGGCUGCCGCGCAUGUGCAGUUCAAGAUCCCAAUCGUGGAUAUUCACGCGAGUAGUGAGGGUGAGAGACCCGCGGAAACAAAGGCGGAGGCGGAGGCGGCGGCGGCGGCGGCGGGUGAACAGGGGGUGCUCUCGAGGGAGGGGUGUGGCGCGGCGACGAGCGGCCGUACCGGAGCCGUCUCCCUUCGCUCCACAGGCUCGAGUAGCGGCCCUUGUCCUUCCUGCGGCGGCAGUUCCCCUUGAGCAGGAGCCCCUACCGCACGCUCGAGGAAGUCUCCCGGCUGUGCUUCGGGGAACUGCUCGCGGCGACGCAGUUCGUGCGCGAGCUCGAGUCCCUCCGGCGGUGGUGACGCCCAAAGGAAGGGAAGUACACGGUCCCUGGACUCUACGGGAACCAAGUAUGGGACCUGUACUUGCACAAAUGGUUCAACUUCCUCUUCCUACGGUGGCGGUGGUUUCCGAUGGGACGACGACACCAGGUCCCUGGCCUCCACGGGGACCAGGUAUGGGACCUCGACUUCGUCCGAUUGAUGGAACGGCGGUACGCAGUCCCUGACGUCCACGUGGCAUGGGACCUCGAAUUGUGUGACUUCGGGCGACUCAUGGAAAGGAAGUACGCGGUCCCUGGUCUCGGUGACUGCGAGUAGGGAACACGGGAACAUGCGUGCUAGGGAGCGACAGAAGGGGUCAGUUAGGGAUUCGUACACGGACGCGGCCCUUUGGACCCGUAAUUCCUACACCUCUUCUGACGCGAACUCUAAGUUCUGUUUGAGUUCGCCUUUCCUGGGCCCAUGAGAAACGCGAGGUAGUCCCGUUGCCAACUUUAGAAGUUCCUCUUGGUUCUCUGUCAACAACAAGCGUCAGUUAGAAACCGACUCUUCAAGUUCCGUACCCGUCUACUGUGGAGGUCCCCCAAAUGGAAGAUAAGCUAGCCCCUUUUCCAUGAAGUCGAAACCCUGUUCAUGAAGGGCUUCGUCAUUAAUGUCAGAUUCUAUACUGCGUCCUGGAACACAGUCUUAUACUAAACUCCAAUAAACAGAUCGAUACAAUAAAACAGACAUGCCAAACGAAACAAAAUCGACUCAUAACUAAUAAAACUCUUAAUGAGGGAAACCCUAGUUCAGUAUAAUCGGAACUGACAUACGACGAACUCUUGACGGUCUACUAACCUUCAUCUUAAAAACAUCAAACUAGACCUAACCGUUUACACUGGCAAAGUAAAAGACUUGCUCAAAAUCAAUCUUCAUAACAAGUUGGAGUCGGUAUACCACCUAGGAUUAACCGUCUUGUCGUUUGGAACAGUUGCGUUGACAGGAAUUAAAGUACCUGCCUAGCGGACGGCAUCAGGAAAACGCCAUUAACCAGAAACGUCACACUACUUCGUGAACAAGUUUGUUGUUACCUACUAUAUUUACUCAUCGAAGAAAGUUGGAGAGAAGGACUAAAAAUAACAAUAUUUUACCUCGUAAAUUGUCACGGCCAAUCGAAAGAUAAAGUACGUGGAAGAAUAAAUUGGUGAGGGAGAUUAUAUACUUAUCCGUCCGAUCUUUUACGAUGAACGAGGUAAUUCGGUGUAACAAAUUUACUCUAUUCAGUGGAAUAUACUGAAUGGAUUAAUUUAUAUAAAAGUGUUAUAAAUUCACUUGACUGUUACAUACUACCUUAAUAACAACGAAGCAAACUUAAGAAAACAACAAACAAGUAUGUUCUUUAUCACAUUCUCACCCACCACCGGUCUACGAGUCUACCGGGGGAUUAACGAUAUAUAACAUCCGAGACGAACGUUUUAAACAAGCCUAAGCGGGUUCGGGGCUGCUUCCUCCCUCCGCGGGGUGGUAGUGGUACCGACGGUUUAGGGAGGUCUAGCUCUCCGGCACUGGUGGUCUAGCUGUACCCGCUUAGGCGAUGCCAGCGGCGCUCACAAACUCGCGGUACCGCCGGCGGACCGGACGAUCGAACUACUCCCAACAGGAGCAGCGGCCACUCACCGCCGCCGCCUACCUCCUCACCCUCACCCUCACCUCUCC
This 3095-nucleotide ribosomal RNA is filed under the name Triticum aestivum (bread wheat). Its description in RNAcentral is "partial small subunit ribosomal RNA". Lineage: Eukaryota; Viridiplantae; Streptophyta; Magnoliopsida; Poales; Poaceae. The record is from RNAcentral.